GACGAACGCUGGCGGCGUGCUUAACACAUGCAAGUCGAACGGUGAAAGCGGAGCUUGCUCCGCUGGAUCAGUGGCGAACGGGUGAGUAACACGUGGGCAACCUGCCCCUCACUUCGGGAUAACUCCGGGAAACCGGGGCUAAUACCGGAUAUGACCUCCUUGGGCAUCCUUGGAGGUGGAAAGUUUUUCGGUGAGGGAUGGGCCCGCAGCCUAUCAGCUUGUUGGUGAGGUAGUGGCUCACCAAGGCGACGACGGGGAGCCGGCCUGAGAGGGCGACCGGCCACACUGGGACGGAGACACGGCCCAGACUCCUACGGGAGGCAGCAGUGGGGAAUAUUGCGCAAUGGGCGAAAGCCUGACGCAGCAACGCCGCGUGCGGGAUGACGGCCUUCGGGUUGUAAACCGCUUUCAGCAGGGAAGAAGCCGCAAGGUGACGGUACCUGCAGAAGAAGCACCGGCUAACUACGUGCCAGCCGCCGCAGUAA
RNAcentral lists this ribosomal RNA (485 nucleotides) under uncultured bacterium. RNAcentral's name for it is "partial 16S ribosomal RNA". It matches the Rfam family "Bacterial small subunit ribosomal RNA", at positions 28 to 523 of the family's 1533-position model. The record is from RNAcentral.